GCAAGUCGAGCGCACCUUCGGGUGAGCGGCGGACGGGUUAGUAACGCGUGGGAACGUACCCUUUUCUACGGAAUAGCCUUUGGAAACGAAGAGUAAUACCGUAUACGCCCUUUGGGGGAAAGAUUUAUCGGAGAAGGAUCGGCCCGCGUUAGAUUAGAUAGUUGGUGGGGUAACGGCCUACCAAGGCUAUGAUCCAUAACUGGUUUGAGAGGAUGACC
Molecule: ribosomal RNA, 218 nt
Filed under: uncultured bacterium
Lineage: Bacteria
Description: partial 16S ribosomal RNA
Rfam family: Bacterial small subunit ribosomal RNA
Source: RNAcentral